This 375-nucleotide ribosomal RNA is filed under the name uncultured bacterium. Its description in RNAcentral is "bacterial SSU rRNA". It matches the Rfam family "Bacterial small subunit ribosomal RNA", at positions 30 to 407 of the family's 1533-position model. The record is from RNAcentral.
AUUGAACGCUGGCGGCAUGCCUUACACAUGCAAGUCGAACGGCAGCGGACCUUCGGGUGCCGGCGAGUGGCGAACGGGUGAGUAAUAUAUCGGAACGUACCUUUCAGUGGGGGAUAACGUAACGAAAGUUACGCUAAUACCGCAUAUUCUGUGAGCAGGAAAGCAGGGGAUCGCAAGACCUUGCGCUGAUUGAGCGGCCGAUAUCAGAUUAGCUAGUUGGCGGGGUAAAGGCCCACCAAGGCGACGAUCCGUAGCUGGUCUGAGAGGAUGAUCAGCCACACUGGAACUGAGACACGGUCCAGACUCCUACGGGAGGCAGCAGUGGGGAAUAUUGGACAAUGGGGGCAACCCUGAUCCAGCCAUGCCGCGUGUGUG